This 497-nucleotide ribosomal RNA is filed under the name uncultured bacterium. Its description in RNAcentral is "partial 16S ribosomal RNA". It matches the Rfam family "Bacterial small subunit ribosomal RNA", at positions 28 to 507 of the family's 1533-position model. The record is from RNAcentral.
GAUGAACGCUGGCGGCGUGCCUAAUACAUGCAAGUCGAGCGAACACACGAGGAGCUUGCUCCUUCGACGUUAGCGGCGGACGGGUGAGUAACACGUAGGUCACCUACCUAUAAUACUGGGAUAACUUCGGGAAACCGGAGCUACUACUGGCUCAUAUUUCGAACCGCAUGGUUCGAUAGUUAAAGAUGCCUUUGCUAUCACUUUUAGAUGAACCUGCGCCGUAUUAGCUAGUUGGUAAGGUAACGGCUUACCAAGGCGACGAUACGUAGCUGACCUGAGAGGGUGAUCGGCCACACUGGGACUGAGACACGGUCCAGACUCCUACGGGAGGCAGCAGUAGGGAAUAUUGCGCAAUGGGCGAAAGCCUGACGGAGCAAUGCCGUGUGAGUGAUGAAGGUCUUCGGAUCGUAAAACUCUGUUAUUAGGGAAGAACAAACGUGUAAGUAACUGUGCACGUCUUGACGGUACCUAAACAGAAAGCAACGGCUAACUACGUG